RNAcentral lists this small nucleolar RNA (94 nucleotides) under Oryza punctata. Its description in RNAcentral is "snoRNA snoZ256". It matches the Rfam family "Small nucleolar RNA Z256". Rfam says of the family: Z256 is a member of the C/D class of snoRNA which contain the C (UGAUGA) and D (CUGA) box motifs. Most of the members of the box C/D family function in directing site-specific 2'-O-methylation of substrate RNAs. Lineage: Eukaryota; Viridiplantae; Streptophyta; Magnoliopsida; Poales; Poaceae. The record is from Rfam by way of RNAcentral.
AUUUGCCAAUCACUAUGACAUGAUCCACUCGGGCUUGGCUGACUGACCUCCCCGAGUACACUAUCAACAGCUGGGCCAAACUGAAGGCCCAGUU